UGAGGCCAAGCAGGACCCAGGAGCUCUUGUGACACAGCAGGACUCUGACACCAUCUCCUGACUCUCAUCAAAUAUUCCGUAGGGCUUUGGGUGUGCCUCUGCAUUGGGAGAGGAUCACACUCUAGAGGCCCAGAGACAUCCUCAAAAAGAGCAACACAGAAAACCAGAAAACGCUACAAGACGCCAGCACUCUGCCUGGUGUACCACACUCAUGCCAGAGGUGUGAGCUGAGCAUAUGCUGUUCCUCUCAUUGCUGUUGUAGUCUUCGCUGGCGUCUUGCUAACCAAGGCACACGGUGGGGAGUGGAGAUGGGGGUUUGGAGAGAGGGGGCUCACUUUCAACUUGAAUGCUCAUGGCAAGGCUUGAGCAAGCAAGUGGCUUCUGGAUUUGUGAGAUAUUUGAACCGGUGAUGAAGAGAGGAAGCAAAAGGAGCCAGCCUGAGCACAGGUGUUGUG
RNAcentral lists this long non-coding RNA (455 nucleotides) under Mus pahari (shrew mouse). RNAcentral describes it as "predicted gene 14641 (MGP_PahariEiJ_G0005624.1)". The record is from RNAcentral. Lineage: Eukaryota; Metazoa; Chordata; Mammalia; Rodentia; Muridae.